CCUACGGGGGACAGCAGUGAGGAAUAUUGGUCAAUGGGCGGGAGCCUGAACCAGCCAAGCCGCGUGCGGGAAGAAGGUACAGCGUAUCGUAAACCUCUUUUGUCAGGGAACAAAGGCGGGGACUAGUCCCCGGAUGAGGGUACCUGAAGAAUAAGCAUCGGCUAACUCCGUGCCAGCAGCCGCGGUAAUACGGAGGAUGCGAGCGUUAUCCGGAUUUAUUGGGUUUAAAGGGUGCGCAGGCGGCCUGUUAAGUCAGCGGUAAAAGGCCGGGGCUCAACCCCCGCCGGGCGGUGGAACUUGGCGGGCUGGAGGUGGAGAGAGGUAGGCGGAAUGCGCGGUGUAGCGGUGAAAUGCUUAGAUAUCGCGAAGAACCCCGAUUGCGAAGGCAGCGUACCGGAUCGACACUGACGCUGAGGCACGAAAGCGUGGGUAUCGAACAGGAUUAGAUACCCGAGUAGUC
RNAcentral lists this ribosomal RNA (460 nucleotides) under uncultured bacterium. RNAcentral describes it as "partial 16S ribosomal RNA". It matches the Rfam family "Bacterial small subunit ribosomal RNA", at positions 338 to 795 of the family's 1533-position model. The record is from RNAcentral.